This 252-nucleotide ribosomal RNA is filed under the name uncultured bacterium. RNAcentral describes it as "partial 16S ribosomal RNA". It matches the Rfam family "Bacterial small subunit ribosomal RNA", at positions 524 to 776 of the family's 1533-position model. The record is from RNAcentral.
UACGUAGGUGGCAAGCGUUAUCCGGAAUAAUUGGGCGUAAAGAGUGAGCAGGCGGUCGACGAAGUCUUUAGUGAAAAGCAGUGGCUUAACCAUUGUUAGCUAAAGAAACUGGUCAACUAGAGUGAGGUAGAGGUUAGUGGAAUUCCAUGUGUAGCGGUGAAAUGCGUAGAUAUAUGGAGGAACACCAGUGGCGAAGGCGACUAACUGGACCUUAACUGACGCUGAGUCACGAAAGCGUGGGGAGCAAAUAGG